Molecule: ribosomal RNA, 429 nt
Filed under: Bacteroidota bacterium
Lineage: Bacteria; Pseudomonadati; Bacteroidota
Description: Bacteroidetes bacterium partial 16S ribosomal RNA
Rfam family: Bacterial small subunit ribosomal RNA
Source: RNAcentral
UAGGGAAUCUUCCGCAAUGGACGCAAGUCUGACGGAGCAACGCCGCGUGAGUGAAGAAGGAUUUCGGUUCGUAAAACUCUGUUGUUAGAGAAGAACAGCGCAUAGAGUAACUGUUAUGCGUGUGACGGUAUCUAACCAGAAAGCCACGGCUAACUACGUGCCAGCAGCCGCGGUAAUACGUAGGUGGCAAGCGUUGUCCGGAUUUAUUGGGCGUAAAGCGAGCGCAGGCGGUCAAUUAAGUCUGAUGUGAAAGCCCCCGGCUCAACCGGGGAGGGUCAUUGGAAACUGGUGGAGUUGAGUGCAGAAGAGGAGAGUGGAAUUCCAUGUGUAGCGGUGAAAGGCGUAGAUAUAUGGAGGAACACCAGUGGCGAAGGCGACUCUCUGGUCUGUAACUGACGCUGAGGCUAGAAAGCGUGGGUAGCAAACAGG